ACGGCAAGAACGAAGCUUGAGGCGCGUGAGAUUCCGGCACCGAAAUGAAAUCGCUUCAAGCGCUUCAUCGCCGAUGCUUGCGGAUCUGCGGUCACAUUUGAGUGCGAGUUUUGUCACAGCGUCGAAGCGAGAGAAGAGAGCAUGUACCAUUGGGAGGAGACCUGAUUGGGCGUUGAGAGAUAGCCGGUGACGGCUCUGACCCUCGAUUCUCAGCCAUCGGCGGCACACCAAAGAGCAACGUUUGCGAUCGCCGGAGCUAAGCGACUGGAAAAUGCAAGCCAAGCACUCGUCAGGUAGAUCGGAUAUGUAGUCCGGUUCUCCAUCGUUACUAAGAAAGUCGCUUGGUUCUUCAGCUUGCAUAGGGGAGAUCAGAGCCGUUG
Molecule: unclassified non-coding RNA, 380 nt
Filed under: Hevea brasiliensis (rubber tree)
Lineage: Eukaryota; Viridiplantae; Streptophyta; Magnoliopsida; Malpighiales; Euphorbiaceae
Source: RNAcentral